RNAcentral lists this ribosomal RNA (373 nucleotides) under uncultured organism. RNAcentral describes it as "bacterial SSU rRNA". It matches the Rfam family "Bacterial small subunit ribosomal RNA", at positions 526 to 896 of the family's 1533-position model. The record is from RNAcentral.
CGUAGGGUGCAAGCGUUGUCCGGAAUUAUUGGGCGUAAAGAGCUCAUAGGCGGUUUGUCGCGUCGACUGUGAAAACCCGAGGCUUAACCUCGGGCCUGCAGUCGAUACGGGCAGACUAGAGUUCGGUAGGGGAGACUGGAAUUCCUGGUGUAGCGGUGAAAUGCGCAGAUAUCAGGAGGAACACCGGUGGCGAAGGCGGGUCUCUGGGCCGAUACUGACGCUGAGGAGCGAAAGCGUGGGGAGCGAACAGGAUUAGAUACCCUGGUAGUCCACGCCGUAAACGUUGGGCGCUAGGUGUGGGGGUUUUUCCACGAUCUCCGUGCCGCAGCUAACGCAUUAAGCGCCCCGCCUGGGGAGUACGGCCGCAAGGCUA